UACGGAGGUGGCUAGCGUUGUUCGGUUUUACUGGGCGUAGAGCGCACGUAGGCGGCUGGGUAAGUCAGGGGUGAAAUACUGCGGCUUAACCGUAGAAUUGCCUCUGAAACUACCUGGCUAGAGGGCGGCAGGGGAGAGCGGAACUUCUGGUGGAGCGGUGAAAUGCGUAGAUAUCAGGAGGAACGCCGGUGGCGAAAGCGACUCUCUGGGCCGUUCCUGACGCUGAGUGUGCGAAAGCUAGGGGAGCAAA
Molecule: ribosomal RNA, 250 nt
Filed under: uncultured bacterium
Lineage: Bacteria
Description: partial 16S ribosomal RNA
Rfam family: Bacterial small subunit ribosomal RNA
Source: RNAcentral